UACGGGGGGGGCAAGCGUUGUUCGGAAUUACUGGGCGUAAAGGGCGCGUAGGCGGUUGGAUAAGUCAGCUGUGAAAACCUGCAGCUUAACUGUGGGCUUGCGGUCGAUACGGGCAGACUGGAGGUAUGCAGGGGAGAACGGAAUUCCUGGUGUAGCGGUGAAAUGCGCAGAUAUCAGGAGGAACACCGGUGGCGAAGGCGGUUCUCUGGGCAUGACCUGACGCUGAGGAGCGAAAGUGUGGGGAGCGAACAGG
Molecule: ribosomal RNA, 253 nt
Filed under: uncultured bacterium
Lineage: Bacteria
Description: partial 16S ribosomal RNA
Rfam family: Bacterial small subunit ribosomal RNA
Source: RNAcentral